Molecule: long non-coding RNA, 600 nt
Filed under: Pan troglodytes (chimpanzee)
Lineage: Eukaryota; Metazoa; Chordata; Mammalia; Primates; Hominidae
Description: long non-coding RNA NONPTRT011684
Source: RNAcentral
UAUAAUAAAACUGUGCUCGAGGGGAAGGAAUGUGGAUGGAUGACUGUUUCUCCAAAACUGCACCAUUGCACUCCACCCUAGGCAACAGAGUGAGACUCUGUCUCAAAAAUAAAUAAAUAAAAAAUACACAAACUAGAGGUAAAAAAAUACUCUAUUAAAUGUUUUUCCUGGCAAGCGUCCAAUGCUACAGAUUCAAUCUCUUUCAAGGCAGAAACUCCUUCUUAUUCAUUUUUGUAUCCCUACACCCGAGCACACCUUAGACUGACCAAUGGUCCAGACUUGCCCACAACUGUUUGAGCUUUUGCGCUGAAAGACCUGCAGCCCAGCAAACCCCUUGGUCUCAGGCAAACCUACAUACUCCUGAACAGCUAUUGAAAAUGUGAAAAAAAAUCACUGAAUAAAAGAAUAAACAACGCAUAUGGAAUUAAAUAAGAUUACUAGAAAAAGUCAAACCUUUUGACCUUUGUUGCUUUAAAAAAAAAAUCACAUAAUGAUAAAAUAAACAAAACAAGUUGCCAUUGCUUUUAAACUAAGGGGAUGCCAAAAGCUCUGGACUGAAGUUGAGGAAGUAGCUCCAUGAUCAUUUAUUAGCAGAGACAA